GCCGAAGUGGCGGAAUUGGUAGACGCGCCAGACUCAAAAUCUGGUAUGGGUUAACCAUGUGCCGGUUCGAGUCCGGCCUUCGGUACCA
RNAcentral lists this transfer RNA (88 nucleotides) under Melioribacteraceae bacterium. Its description in RNAcentral is "tRNA-Leu". It matches the Rfam family "tRNA". From Rfam's summary of the family: Transfer RNA (tRNA) molecules are approximately 80 nucleotides in length. Lineage: Bacteria; Pseudomonadati; Ignavibacteriota; Ignavibacteria; Ignavibacteriales; Melioribacteraceae. The record is from RNAcentral.